Molecule: transfer RNA, 78 nt
Filed under: Megalops atlanticus (tarpon)
Lineage: Eukaryota; Metazoa; Chordata; Actinopteri; Elopiformes; Megalopidae
Description: tRNA-OTHER
Source: RNAcentral
AGCAGUGUAGCAUAGUGGUAAGGAGCAGGGCUUGUAACCGAAAGGUUUCUAGUUCGAUUCCCCACUGGGGCACUGCUG